UUGAAAGGGAAACGAUUGAAGUCAGUCGUGCAGUCAUCAACUCAGCGGGUAGCGUAGGUAAUUUAUUGCUUUCGUUUUCCGUGUACUUUGUUGUCUGCUGGUUAGCAUCAAUUUUGAUUGUCAUAAAAAGGUUAAGGGGAUGUGGCUCCUUCGGGAGUGUUAUAACCCUUAGCGGAAUGUGGCGAUUGGGAUUGAGGAUUGCAACGAGUACCUUUAGGGCAGUUCCGUCUGGUCUCUUGUUGAUUUUCAGAUAGCAAAAGCUUGCUUUUGUUGUUUGAAUAGAGUUAGCAAAUAGAUUGGAAAGUGAAUUAAUUCGUUAAGGAUGUUGACGUA
This 333-nucleotide ribosomal RNA is filed under the name uncultured Glomeraceae. RNAcentral's name for it is "LSU rRNA". The record is from RNAcentral. Lineage: Eukaryota; Fungi; Glomeromycota; Glomeromycetes; Glomerales; Glomeraceae.